Long non-coding RNA from Panicum virgatum (switchgrass), 2018 nucleotides. RefSeq lists it as uncharacterized. The record is from RefSeq and is a predicted model, not a curated record. Lineage: Eukaryota; Viridiplantae; Streptophyta; Magnoliopsida; Poales; Poaceae. The transcript has 3 exons.
UUUUCACCGUGAUUCCUACCCCUCUUGCCGUAGCCGCCUGAAAUCUCCUCGCAGGACUUAUCUUCUCCGCAACCGCGCCGCACCGUCCGCCGAGACCCGGAGCCGCACCUCGCAGUCUGCUCGCAGCGCGAAGGCUCGAACUGCCCGCCGAACACCGGAGUUUUCUUCUUCGGUGCCGUCUCGACAUCCUUGAAGGCUCAAACUCCCCGCCGAACGACUUCCAUGGCGUAUUCGGCCGCGGCGGUUGGGAGGCUGCUGUCGCCGUUUCUCGACAGCCUGAGGGAUCGGAUCCACUCAAGCGGCGACAACCUCUUCCGCUACCUCCCCUUGGGGUCCGCCUCCUUCCAUAGGGAUGGAGCACCAUGUGCUGAGCUUUGAGGGUGGAGUGCUGCAGGAGUCCUCCAAGUUUUAGGCGUCAGCGUACUGAUUCAUUGGCACAAACGCCGAAUCCCCUGCUUCUCCUUCUCCUUGAGGUCAGCCAGCGCGCCUUCCCGGCAUGAAUCGCAGGAACUGAAGCGCGCUAUAAACUGCAUCCUGGACCAUGAUGUAGCAGCUGGUGGACUGACAUGGACACUUCGGGCUUCGACUGAACUGAACCUCCUCGACGUCUGUGCCGGGGCCUCUGCUCAGCGCGCCCUCGUCUCCCGGGUGUUGUAGGAGCUGCACCCGGGGCACUUCUGCCCCAGCACAUGGAACCGCACACUCGACGUCGCGCUGCAGUCGUUGCACAGGAUCCACACCUGCAUCCAAUCAUCGCAAAAACAGCGUUCAGCUUCAGCGAUCGGCAUCAGACCAGCCUCAUCAUCAGGUUGAGAACCGGCCGUGGGUCGCAACUCGCAAACGAUGCAGGCGUACGAUGUGAUGGAAGGAUUUCAGAGGGAGAGCAUCCAGUCUGCUGCUUACCAUCUUCGUCAGGUAGAUCUCCGGCAUCGGCGUUGCCGCGACCUCCUCGUCGAGCUUCCGCCACGUGUCAGUCAUGUCGCAGGCGGACCUCGAGCACACAGGGCACGAGAAGCUGCAAAGAUCAAAGUCAAAAGGGUUUGAGAUCAUUGGAUGCAGGCAGAGGAUGAAAUGUGUCGGGUCAAGUUGUCUGGUCUGGUCUCUGAAGAAGUAUGUGAGGAGCUUACUGAUGGUGCGCUCUCAUCUCAUUCAUGCACUCCAGAUGAAUUGUGUGUCCGCACUGCAGCACGCUGAUGUCUUUCGUGGAGUCGAACAAAUACUGUAAAGGAAGAUAAGAGGAAUUUUUCUCAAGAUCACGAGCUGCAAAGUUCAGAAUGAUUUCUUUUUUUCCCCUUGGAAUGAACAAUGAAGUAUGAUGUGGCUCAGGCCUCUCACCUCGAAGCAGACAGGGCAGUUGUGAUGCAUUGCUCUUUCCACGCAGCGGUGAGAAUCCUUCAAGACGUUGCUGUAGCAACACCCUGUCAGAUUACAACAAGAGCAGCACGGGAUAGAGUUGGUGAAAUCCUUGUCGCGGAACAGGUAACAUGCAGAAUCAUAGCAGAAAGAAGUUCACGCAGGAAGUUACCGCAUUUGUCACAGUGAAAGAAGUUAUCUGCACCACCAGUUCUGAAAGAAAAAGAAGAUAAAAGCACAUGUUUCAGAUUUCGAGCAUAGCGUUAAGUAUUUUUGGAGGAAAACAUAGCUGCGAGUUUGGUACUUGCCUGCAUAUGCCACAUCCAUCACAGUGGUAUUGGCCCUUUGAUAACUGGAACAGAGCAGUAUGUCUAUCAGAUUGGGAAGCAUGUUUUUUUUUAAAAAAAGAAUUAUAGCACAACUAUUUCCAUAUUUAAGUUAGGAGGAACCAAAAAAAAAGUCCUUACAUCAUCGUCAAAGAAUUUGCAUAUUUCACAGAAGUAUUCCCCCAUGCAGGCACCACAGUUAGAACAAUUCUGUUGCACCUGUCAAUAGAAAUGAACAUUUUUUAUGCAACUAUUACAACCAAAAGAUAAGUGUUCUCGAAGCACUACUGUACUCCCUCCGUUCUUUUUUAUAUAACACCGUUGAUUUUUUUUCUUCAA